UACGUAGGGGGCGAGCGUUGUCCGAAUUUACUGGGCGUAAAGAGCGCGUAGGCGGGUUCUUAAGUGAGAGGUGAAAGGUUCAGGGCUCAACCCGAACAGUGCCUUUCAUACUGGGAGCCUUGAGUGUGGGAGAGGAGAGUGGAAUUCCCGGUGUAGCGGUGAAAUGCGCAGAUAUCGGGAAGAACACCCGUGGCGAAGGCGGCUCUCUGGGACGGUACUGACGCUGAGACGCGAAAGCGUGGGGAGCGAACAGG
Molecule: ribosomal RNA, 254 nt
Filed under: uncultured bacterium
Lineage: Bacteria
Description: partial 16S ribosomal RNA
Rfam family: Bacterial small subunit ribosomal RNA
Source: RNAcentral